Molecule: ribosomal RNA, 404 nt
Filed under: Actinomycetes bacterium
Lineage: Bacteria; Bacillati; Actinomycetota; Actinomycetes
Description: Actinobacteria bacterium partial 16S ribosomal RNA
Rfam family: Bacterial small subunit ribosomal RNA
Source: RNAcentral
UGGGGAAUAUUGGACAAUGGGCGCAAGCCUGCUCCAGCCAUGCCGCGUGAGUGAUGAAGGCCCUAGGGUUGUAAAGCUCUUUCACCGGUGAAGAUAAUGACGGUAACCGGAGAAGAAGCCCCGGCUAACUUCGUGCCAGCAGCCGCGGUAAUACGAAGGGGGCUAGCGUUGUUCGGAUUUACUGGGCGUAAAGCGCACGUAGGCGGACUUUUAAGUCCGGGGUGAAAUCCCGGGGCUCAACCCCGGAACUGCCUUUGAUACUGGAAGUCUUGAGUAUGGUAGAGGUGAGUGGAAUUCCGAGUGUAGAGGUGAAAUGCGUAGAUAUUAGGAGGAACACCAGUGGCGAAGGCGGCUCACUGGACCAUUACUGACGCUGAGGAGCGAAAGCGUGGGGAGCAAACAGG